UUCUGUGGUAUAUUUUUUUUGUUAUCAGUCAUCACUCCUUCGACAAUCAAAGACGGAGUUAUCUUCUAAGCUAAUAGAUGCUUAUUUACUAAGUAAUUAAAUUACAAAUUAGAAAAUUAAUUAAGUCUUAAUGUUUGUAAUUUUCUUUAGAUGUUUUUUAACUUAGGAAAAAAAUGUGUUAUGUCCGAGAUAUUUAAAAAAAAGCCAAUUUUGUUACGAUUACAUGCACGGGUCUGGUAAUAGUGGAUUUUCAAAUUUGCCUUCCUCUCUUCCAUAGAGAGUGAUGGUUAAUUAGUUUUCUGAAGACCAUAAGGCUGAUGAACUAGAGCGUUGAUACACAAGAUAAGUAAGUAGAGUAUUUUCGAUGAAAAUCUAUUUUUGAGAAUGAAUUUUUUGCUUUUAUCACGGAAAAGAAUAAUUUCAGAAGAUUAUGAUUCGGAUUUGGAUUAUUGGCUAGAGACAAAAAUAAGUUUGAAAGGUGAAUGGACGGGUGGAGAUUGGUGGGAGAACAUAAGAGAAGAUUUUAUAUCAAUCUUUAAACCUGUUUGUAAAGGUCUAAACAUGUUACAGUUAAAAGGUGAAUACCACGGGAAUUUAAAUUUGAAGGAUGGUAUUAAGGUUCAAAUAUGUAAUGGACAGAGACGUAAAUUCUAACAGAGAUAAAAGAGUAAGACAAAAAUAAAAAAAAAACAGCUAUCGUCUGAUGUCACGAUCUUACUAAAUAUUAUUAAUAAGGUUUUAAAUUUUCCAUUUAAAGAAUGCACUCUAUACAUAAAAAAAGUUGAUGAUUUAUGUUUGAAUCAAUUGAGAGUCUAUUCGAGGUAUUUUUUAUUGUUUAUUUUUUUUAAUUAGUUAACAUGAUGAGAAAUCUUCUUAACUAAAAAUAAUUUCAAUUUAGUGACACCGACUUUAGAAUAAAGUGGGCUCUCGAUCCGGUUUUAUUUUGGGAUGUGAAUCGAAGAAUAAGGUUUUUGUUAGCUGUUUAUUGGGCCUUUUAUCAACCAUCACCGGUUUCGGAGUAUCAUACUCUUGGCAAUGCUACAACUACAAACUGUAUCAAGCACCCAAAGUACCACGAUGAAAAAGGAAGCACCUGGAUUGAAUCCAUAUGGAGGUCAUUAGCAAAUCAAAUCGGCCUAUAGGAUAUGUGAAAAAAGGUCCAUAACUCCUCUCACUACCAAAAUGAAGCUGGUCUACUCCUUUGGUUAUUCAAGAAAAUAAACAAAGCCCAAGACUAGCAUAAGCUUCAGCAACUUAAAGAGCCAAAGCUCCUCCAUGUACCACCGUUCAGCAAUUACAUGGUUAUGUAUAAAAGCAAUAAGAGGACAAUUCGACCAUGCAAGGACAAGUGUGACUCUGUGAAAGCAAAAAGGACACAGAGACAUCUCCACUAUCCCAAAGACAUCAGCAGAGCAACAUUCGGCUAGUGGGUGAGCAAAACACAAAUUUGCAAAUAGCAGUAGCAGCAGGGAAAUGGAGAAAAUGAAAAAAGAGUGCAUGCCUAGGAAGAAAGCAAAACAAUGGACCACAGAGUGGACAGGCUCCUCAUCCAGCAAGAGUAGUGGAGCAUGAUGAAGAAGGACUGUUUGCUAGUUGUGACAGCUCUAACGGGCAGCAAGGACAAGCAAAAGGAAGAAGCAACAAUGAAGGCAAGCUGAAGACAUAUAAGGAGCUUCACUACAUCAAUUUCAAAGCAAGAAAAAGAGAGAACACACACAGAGCAUCAUCACAAACAUGAAGCUGAAAUCUUUUUUUUCUACUCAAGCUUAAUUUAUGAUUUUCUUUGUUAUGGCUGUCUUAUGUCAUUUUCUGUUUUGAAAAAAGGCCGAACUUGUGAGGUUGAAAAGCCAAGAGAGUUGCAUAAGAGCUACUGAUUUCUGAUGUGAUUGAGUUGUUGAACUAGGAUUAGUUUCUCUUGUCAAGUUGGGUUAGCACUUGGUGAGUUUUGAAUCUGUUAGGAUUCCCCUUCCAAGUUGAGAAAGCACUUGGAGUAGAUACUAGUUGAAUUAGGAAGUAAUUCAAUACUAAUAGUAUUGGUGAAUGUAAUCAGUGGAUUAUAGUGGAAAUUCCACCAUGGUUUGUGGUGGAGACUGGAUGUAGGAUUCAUUGCACAAAGAAUUCGAACCAGGAUAUAUGUUGGUCUCUUUCUCCUUUUCCCUACUCUUUAUUUGUUCUACACACGAGAUAAAAUGAAAUAAUCUCCUGCAAUUUAAGCUGCUGUGAAAACAAAGUUUGAAUUUUAAGGUUUUAAGCUAACUUGAUUCAAUCCCCUUUUCAAAUUCAAGUAAAAAGUUGAUAAUGGUGAUUAUUAUAGGAUAUUUUAAUUAGAAAAAUGAUAUUGCCACUCCUAUUUUUAGUAAUGUCAUUUCACACAUGAUGACACAUGAUUUUUUUGCACUGUAUAUUUGUAUAAAUUUAUAUAACCCAAAUCUAGCAAAAUAUAUCUUGAAUCCCGACGAGGUCUUGAAUACCCCUUUGAAUAUGGUGACUAAUCUCAAGCAUGGUCUAAGUGAAAUUGAGUUUGGCUCUCAAUUUGAGUGGUCUUUUCUUUUUGCUUAUGUUUUAUGUACAUUUUAUGA
Arachis stenosperma is the source of this 2579-nucleotide long non-coding RNA. RefSeq lists it as uncharacterized. The transcript has 3 exons. Lineage: Eukaryota; Viridiplantae; Streptophyta; Magnoliopsida; Fabales; Fabaceae. The record is from RefSeq and is a predicted model, not a curated record.